Molecule: long non-coding RNA, 789 nt
Organism: Triticum dicoccoides
Lineage: Eukaryota; Viridiplantae; Streptophyta; Magnoliopsida; Poales; Poaceae
Exons: 3
Source: RefSeq, a predicted model, not a curated record
CUCUAUAUAAAUUACGGACCCGAGGUGAGCAGUGUCAUCGCUUGCUGUUCAUCAUCGUCCACUCCACUCCAGUCUCCAGUCUCCAGUCUCCAGGCGAGUCCGUCCGCCCGUGCCGGCGUCAGCGUUGCAGGCCAGUGGCUGCGUGCUUGUGCAGGAACUUGUGACGACCAGAGAUGAAGGCAGGACGCGGUGCCACCAUCGCCCUUUUGCUGCUGCUGCUGAGCUCCGGUCCGGCAUGGCUACGCCGCCGGCGGCAGAGGUCGAUGUUCAGCACUACACCGACGGGCUCGGAAUGUGGGUCUGCACGGUGUAUGCCCGUCUGGGACCAAUCGACAAGGCGACGUGCGAUUGGAUGUGCAGGCUGUCCAACAACUCGACGACCAGCGGCGGCCUGCAAGUGCGGCUCGGCGACGACUACGAUUGUUGCGACAGAGGCUGCCGCUGCUCCUUCUGCGUCUCUGUCUACACAAUUGGCGCCGGACAUGCUGCUGCCGCCGCUGCUGUGUGGCCGAUCGCGCUGUCCAGCCUCCUUGUGCUGCUGGUGAUGCUGGCGUAGUUCAGAGUUACCCCCCGUAGCCGUGCACUGUGCGUGCGUGAGGUUCAGAGUUUCUUCAGGAUGCAUCUACUAGUGUUGGUCAGUGUUGGAGCUGGGCACUAGCCAAUUAGCCAUAAUAAAAGUUGAUAAGACUCAAUGAAUGUGGACUUGUGGAGUGCCAUUCCCAUUAUCACUUGAUGAAAUUUCAGUUGUGUUACCUGUUCUCAUGCAGAGCAGGGAAUGUGAAUGGAUGG